Gracilinanus agilis (Agile Gracile Mouse Opossum) is the source of this 104-nucleotide small nuclear RNA. NCBI's taxonomy places the organism in Eukaryota, Metazoa, Chordata, Mammalia, Didelphimorphia, Didelphidae. The record is from RefSeq and is a predicted model, not a curated record.
GCACUUAUUUUGGCAGCACAUAUAUUAAAAUUGGAACAAUAUAGAGAUUCGCAUUGCCCCUGCACAAGGAUGACAUGCAAAUUCAUGAAGUAUUUGAUAUUUUU